GAGGGAAUAGCUCAGUGGUAGAGCCCGUGCUUAGAAUGCAUGAGGUCCUGGGUUCAAUCCCCAGCACCUCCA
RNAcentral lists this transfer RNA (72 nucleotides) under Camelus bactrianus (Bactrian camel). It matches the Rfam family "tRNA". Rfam says of the family: Transfer RNA (tRNA) molecules are approximately 80 nucleotides in length. Their secondary structure includes four short double-helical elements and three loops (D, anti-codon, and T loops). RNAcentral also lists the same sequence under 2 other names. Lineage: Eukaryota; Metazoa; Chordata; Mammalia; Artiodactyla; Camelidae. The record is from Rfam by way of RNAcentral.